This is a long non-coding RNA of Marmota monax (woodchuck), 2456 nucleotides long. RefSeq lists it as uncharacterized. Lineage: Eukaryota; Metazoa; Chordata; Mammalia; Rodentia; Sciuridae. The record is from RefSeq and is a predicted model, not a curated record. The transcript is spliced from 2 exons.
UUUCUGUGUGCUCUGGCUAGCUGUAUGUUGUGUUGUGUUGUUCAGUGGAGUCUCCCAGAUGCCUCUGUCAUGUUUAUCUUUAUGUAUGUCCUUCUGGGUGUGUGCAUGUAUGUUUCAGCAUGUUCGUGUUCAUGUUGAUUAACUUAUUAUGCACCAGUCUUUGUGGGCUAUGUGUUUGUGUGUAAUAAGUGGGUAUCCAGUUAAUGUCUGCAUGUGCACAUUUGUGUGAGCAGCUGAUAUGGGGUGUGUUUCUAGACAGGUGUGCCUGAAUGCUCACCAGUCUCUGCCUCUGUGUACAUAGCUUAAGUACCCAUGUUUUGGGAGAUCGUGUUUGGGGGAUGUCUACAGUGUGUAUUUUGUGUCCAAUCUGGAGCAUGACUGUGCUUCUACAUUGGUCUGUAUGAAAGCACAAGUGGGUGACUAUGUAUAAGUGUAUGGAUGUCUGUGUGUGUGCACAUGUGUGUGCAUCUGUGUGUGUUCUUGUGUAUAUAUGGAACCACGUGGAACAUGUUGUGCACGGGUGAACAUCUGAUAUCUGCCUGUGCUUGUCUGUGUUUGGAUUGAAAUGUAAUCCUGGCCUGGCUUCAUUUCUCGUUUUGAAAAAACAAAUAAUUCCUGUGUUUUUAAAGUAUUUACCUCCCUCAGUUUUCACGAGCAGGUUGAAAAGCCUCCCUGGGACAGGUGUGUCCCAGAGCCUUCCCAGGGCUGAUUACUUCCCACUGGAUACAUUUAAAUAUCCUCCCAGAAAAUUCUCAUUCCCACGUAUCACCACCCACCUCCCAAGCCAUUUAACAGAAUCAUUUACCCAGUGUUCCCUGAUUCAUGUCAGCUCUGAGCUGAGUGGUACCAAGUGACCAGAAAGCCCUGGGCCCUGCCUCACUCAGGUCUCACUCCUAAGGGGAAGGCAGACCCACAGCUCAGAAUGGACUGUGCUGGGGUGGGAAGACACAGGCAGAGGGGCCCAGACAGGAUGGGGAGAGCACAGGUGUCUGUAGGAACCCAGAAACAGCACCUGACUCGCCCUCAUGGGCUUAGGAUAGGCUGUUCGUAGGGAUUUUGUGUAGAAGGAUAGGGAAGAUUGGGAGGUUGUAUUCCAUGCAGAAGAACCAGUGUGUGUGAGGGCCUGGGUGUGUGGCUUGGUGGAAUUGGGCAUUAGAGAUCUUGGCUCGUGUGUGUGGAGAGAGCUAGGGCCACCGGCAGGAGCCAGAACGCAUAGAGUCUAAUUCAACUCAGUGAGAAGUGUAGACUUUGUCUUGUGGCGGUGGGGAGCCUCGGAAAGAUUUCAAUCUGGGGGACAAAAUGGGUGCGUGAAGCCGCAUGGAGGCUGCGGCAUAUAGGAGCCAAUCAUGGCGCAGCAAGGAAUUUCCAAGCUGCAGCAGCCGGCUCUUCCCCGCUCCCCACCCGGGAAGAAGAACGCCACUGCGAGAGCCCAAAUCCAAACCUGUGCCCGGAAGCAAUUUGAGACCAAGACUCUCCCCAGGGCCAUCUGGGGCUGCCCAGGAGCUACAGCCAACAAAAGACGCUACCAGUGUCCCUGAUGUUUGGUCAUUUCCAAGGCCAGUAACUACAAUGGUUCUCCCACACCUGGAAGCUAAUGAGUAAUGAGCACUAUUAAGGCUUAUUUCAAAUGUGAAAAACCUUGAGAUGAUGUACUAAAUUGUUCAGAAGGUUGUUUUCUUAGUGCCUGCUGGAAUACUACAGGAUUUUCUUUAGCCAUCCCGAGUUCCAGCCUUCGUCCCAGUGCCAGUGAAGAGGAAUGUGGAAGAAUUUCCAUUGUUGCUGAGAACCGGAGGAGACUUCAGCUGAGAACCGACGAGACUUCGGAUCAAGCUAGAUGCCUGUAGAACUUACCUGGACUGUGAUUUAAGCUAGCUGUCUGCAGAACUUACCUGGACUGUGAUUCAAGCUAGCUUCCUGCAGAGCUUACCUGGACUGUGAUUUACCUGGACCGUGAGUUAAUCUAUUGAGACACUGCUUUACCUGGACUGAGACAACAAACUGUAAUCCACAACAAAUUUUAACUCGAUAUCUUUGCUAAUGGUGUCAUUGCUGGUAUAAUUUUUCCAAGGGCUUCUUGCAUGGAGCCAUCAAUUGGCUUGGUAUUGUGACAUUCUGUAUCCUCCCCUUCUGCUUGUAGCAGAUUAUUUAUGGUGUUUCUGUAAAAACCACUAUGGUCGUUAUUUAAAUCAAACAAAAGGGGGAAAUGUUAGAGUCUGUAAACAAGUUAGGAUGGCACCUGGCAUUUUGCCAGAGAAAUGUUAGAGUCUGUAAACAAGUCUGGAUGGCGCCUGGCAAAAUGCCAGAGGGAGUGGUUUGUGAAAUAAUGCCAGUGAGCCAUUAAGUGUGGAGAUUCCUGAUUGGUUGACUGCUGUAUCUAGUUUAUGCUAAUUAGAUAAGCUGUGUGGAAUGUAUAAAUACUGCUCCUGUCCUGCAAUAAACGGCUCCUACUCCUGCUG